Molecule: ribosomal RNA, 439 nt
Filed under: uncultured bacterium
Lineage: Bacteria
Description: partial 16S ribosomal RNA
Rfam family: Bacterial small subunit ribosomal RNA
Source: RNAcentral
CUACGGGGCGCAGCAGUGGGGAAUCUUAGACAAUGGGCGCAAGCCUGAUCUAGCCAUGCCGCGUGAGUGAUGAAGGCCUUAGGGUCGUAAAGCUCUUUCGCUGGGGAAGAUAAUGACGGCACCCAGUAAAGAAACCCCGGCUAACUCCGUGCCAGCAGCCGCGGUAAUACGGAGGGGGUUAGCGUUGUUCGGAAUUACUGGGCGUAAAGCGCGCGUAGGCGGACUGUUAAGUCGGGGGUGAAAUCCCGGGGCUCAACCCCGGAACGGCCUUCGAUACUGGCAGUCUGGAGUUCGAGAGAGGUGAGUGGAAUUCCGAGUGUAGAGGUGAAAUUCGUAGAUAUUCGGAGGAACACCAGUGGCGAAGGCGGCUCACUGGCUCGAUACUGACGCUGAGGUGCGAAAGUGUGGGGAGCAAACAGGAUUAGAUACCCCCGUAGUC